CCUACAUCCUCCUCUUCAUCUCUGCUUGCUACUGCAUCCUCCUCUUCAUCUCUGCUUCCUUCUGCAUCCUCCUGCAUCUCCCUCAAUUUCUACGGCGUACACCUCGGAUGUCCCAACCAAAAAAAGGACAAGGAAAGAAUGCUGAAAACACCGUACACAGAAGAUUUUCAAAUAUGAAGAGAUAGUAGACAGGAGAGUUGUAAAUGAAAAAGAAGAAGUUAAAGUCAAGUGGAAGCCCUGCUCAACAUGGUAUGUAGUAACAGCUUUGUUACUACAAAACUCUCCCCCUCUCCCUCACCACCAUCUGUAAACACACAUGUCUCAGUAAUGCAGUUCAUGCAUGUUACUAACUAAACUUCUUCCCUGGAGUUUCUGUGCUCUCUCAUCCAGCAGGUUCUGAAGGAUCGUGGCUGCUGCUGUGGUCCUGCUUGACGUCUGCUUCAUAUAUUAUUACUCUCUGACUUGAUUUGAUUCAUUUAUAUUACAAUGAAGGUGUAUAAAGCAUGACAUGAAUAUAGAAGAUAUUUCAUCCUAAAAAAUUGUCAUAUGUCACAACCUAAAUGAUCCUAUUUUGUGUGUGUGGUUGUUGUUUGUUGUGUUUUUCUCCUGACAGUGGCAAAGUGUGGGAUGACACAUGGGAACCUGCGCAGUUUUACACACAGUAAACCAGGCACCACAGGUGGCAGAGAUCGCACAGUUCACAGUUUGUAGUUCAGCAUAAAAGUUCAAAAUAAGAUAUUUACUGUACAAUUCUAACCAGUGUCAGUCUCUGUUUCACUCUCUAACUGUGGCUUAAGUACAUAAAACACUCGUGAAUCUGAUCCAUCAAUAAUAUCUUCCCAGCACUCGAUAUCUCAUAGUUUUACAUAUCAGUCAACAUUAUUGUCUACAUGCUCAUAAAUAUAGAAGUGACUUGGCUAUUGUAACAUAUUGCAAGUUAAAGCAAUACUGCACUGCACGUAAAGUAAGUAACAUCUUGUAUGAGGUGAUUAGGGUCAGCAGUGCUGUGUAU
Astatotilapia calliptera (eastern happy) is the source of this 1012-nucleotide long non-coding RNA. The record is from Ensembl. NCBI's taxonomy places the organism in Eukaryota, Metazoa, Chordata, Actinopteri, Cichliformes, Cichlidae.